RNAcentral lists this long non-coding RNA (897 nucleotides) under Homo sapiens (human). RNAcentral describes it as "HSALNT0224772". The record is from RNAcentral. Lineage: Eukaryota; Metazoa; Chordata; Mammalia; Primates; Hominidae.
ACUGAGUAUAAUAUUCCAUCCAGCCCAACUUUGCUUCCCUGAAGCUGAAUUCAUUCUGCUUUUAAGAAAUGGAUAUUGUCGCCAGCCUUGGGGCUCACACCUGUAACCCCAACACUUUGGGAAGCUGAGGCAAGAGAGAGGAUCACUUGAGCCCAGGACUGUGAGGCCUGCCUGGGUAACAGAGUAAGAUCCUGUCUCUAAAAAAAAUUAAAAAUUAGCUGGAUGUAGUGACACGAGACUGUAGCCCCAGCUACUUGGGAGGCCGAGGCGGGAGGAUCGCUUGAGCCCAGCAGGUUGAGGCUGCAGUGAGCCAUGAUCAUGCCACUGGGUGGCAGAGCAAGACCUUUUCUCCCAAUUAAAAAGAAAAGAAAUGGAGGGACUGGACUAUGCAGGUGCAUUAGUGCUAUGCGCCUGGCAGUGCUUUAAAGACAUUAAAACAUCCAAUUCAUAAUAUCCAGAUGAGGAAGUAUUUUCCAUGGAUGGUGAUUCCAACUAAAGGAAAGAGAGAAAAGUACACUGACGUUGACCAAGACCUUGAGGGGACUAAGAGGGAAAGUGAGAGCAUCACAUAACGAGAGCUGACGUCAAGGCUGGCCCAAUCAAGAAACGGCCUCAAAACCGUACAAUGUAGGAAACAGAAUCAUCACAAAGAAAAACAAUGUGAUCUUGGAACAGUGGCGACCUCAAAGCACAUCUCUACAUCUUGAUAAGAAAAAAGAGGAGACGUAGAAAAUCCCCCAGAACCAGACUCCAGUUUGGCUUACGGUCUGUCAUAACAUCACAGGCACCAGGAGUGGGCUCUUUGGUGAUGAGAGCGGAACUGAAAAUGGAAAUGGAAAUCAAACACACAGCCCCAGUCAGGUCCCAGGUUAGCUGACCUGCUCCUAAUGCCUGCUG